GGUGCGGUGCGCUAAUUGGCAUAGCGGCUGAGCUCAAACCUCAGUGUUUGUGGGUUCGAGUCCCACCCUCACCAC
RNAcentral lists this transfer RNA (75 nucleotides) under Pirellula sp. SH-Sr6A. RNAcentral describes it as "tRNA-Leu". It matches the Rfam family "tRNA". Rfam says of the family: Transfer RNA (tRNA) molecules are approximately 80 nucleotides in length. Their secondary structure includes four short double-helical elements and three loops (D, anti-codon, and T loops). The record is from RNAcentral. Lineage: Bacteria; Pseudomonadati; Planctomycetota; Planctomycetia; Pirellulales; Pirellulaceae. RNAcentral also lists the same sequence under 1 other name.